This 75-nucleotide transfer RNA is filed under the name Camelus bactrianus (Bactrian camel). It matches the Rfam family "tRNA". From Rfam's summary of the family: Transfer RNA (tRNA) molecules are approximately 80 nucleotides in length. Their secondary structure includes four short double-helical elements and three loops (D, anti-codon, and T loops). RNAcentral also lists the same sequence under 2 other names. Lineage: Eukaryota; Metazoa; Chordata; Mammalia; Artiodactyla; Camelidae. The record is from Rfam by way of RNAcentral.
GAGGGUAUAGCUCAAGUGGUAGAGUGCAUGCUUAGCAAUGCAUGAGGUCCUGGGUUCUAAUCCCCAGUACUUCCU